Molecule: ribosomal RNA, 253 nt
Filed under: uncultured bacterium
Lineage: Bacteria
Description: partial 16S ribosomal RNA
Rfam family: Bacterial small subunit ribosomal RNA
Source: RNAcentral
UACGAAGGGGGCUAGCGUUGUUCGGAAUUACUGGGCGUAAAGCGCACGUAGGCGGCUUUGUAAGUUAGAGGUGAAAGCCCGGGGCUCAACUCCGGAAUUGCCUUUAAGACUGCAUCGCUAGAAUUGUGGAGAGGUAAGUGGAAUUCCGAGUGUAGAGGUGAAAUUCGUAGAUAUUCGGAAGAACACCAGUGGCGAAGGCGACUUACUGGACACAUAUUGACGCUGAGGUGCGAAAGCUAGGGGAGCAAACAGG